RNAcentral lists this ribosomal RNA (442 nucleotides) under uncultured bacterium. Its description in RNAcentral is "partial 16S ribosomal RNA". It matches the Rfam family "Bacterial small subunit ribosomal RNA", at positions 338 to 795 of the family's 1533-position model. The record is from RNAcentral.
CCUACGGGAGGCUGCAGUGGGGAAUAUUGCACAAUGGGCGCAAGCCUGAUGCAGCAACGCCGCGUGAGUGAAGAAGGUCUUCGGAUCGUAAAGCUCUGUCCGUGAGGAAGAGGGAAGUGACGGUAUUCAGGGAGGAAGACGCGGCUAACUACGCGCCAGCAGCCGGGGUAAUACGUAGGGGGCAAGCGUUAUCCGGAAUUAUUGGGGGAAAAGAGUACGUAGGGGGUAUUGUAAGCGCGGGGUAAAAGGCAGGGGCUUAACCAUUGUAAGCCUUGCGAACUGCAAGACUUGAGUGCAGGAGAGGAAAGCGGAAUUCCUAGUGUAGCGGUGAAAUGCUUAGAUAUUAGGAGGAACACCAGUGGCGAAGGCGGCUUUCUGGACUGUAACUGACACUGAGGUACGAAAGCGUGGGGAGCAAACAGGAUUAGAUACCCGUGUAGUC